AUUGAACGCUGGCGGCAGGCUUAACACAUGCAAGUCGAGCGGGGUGAUGGUGCUUGCACUAUCACUUAGCGGCGGACGGGUGAGUAAUGCUUAGGAAUCUGCCUAUUAGUGGGGGACAACAUCUCGAAAGGGAUGCUAAUACCGCAUACGUCCUACGGGAGAAAGCAGGGGAUAACUUGUGACCUUGCGCUAAUAGAUGAGCCUAAGUCGGAUUAGCUAGUUGGUGGGGUAAAGGCCUACCAAGGCGACGAUCUGUAGCGGGUCUGAGAGGAUGAUCCGCCACACUGGGACUGAGACACGGCCCAGACUCCUACGGGAGGCAGCAGUGGGGAAUAUUGGACAAUGGGGGAACCCUGAUCCAGCCAUGCCGCGUGUGUGAAGAAGGCCUUAUGGUUGUAAAGCACUUUAAGCGAGGAGGAGGCUCUUUUGGUUAAUACCCAAGAUGAGUGGACGUUACUCGCAGAAUAAGCACCGGCUAACUCUGUGCCAGCAGCCGCGGUAA
This 502-nucleotide ribosomal RNA is filed under the name uncultured bacterium. RNAcentral describes it as "partial 16S ribosomal RNA". It matches the Rfam family "Bacterial small subunit ribosomal RNA", at positions 30 to 523 of the family's 1533-position model. The record is from RNAcentral.